GUUUAGUGGCAGACGGGUGAGUAACACGUAGGUAAUCUUCCCUAGAGUGGAGGACAACCUGGCGAAAGCCGGGCUAAUACUCCAUAGGACCACGAUCCCGCAUGGGAUUGGGGUUAAAAUUUCGAUGCUCAAGGACGAACCUGCGGCCUAUCACGGUAGUUGGUGGGGUAAUGGCCCACCAAGCCAACGACGGGUAGCCGGCCUGAAAGGGCGAACGGCCACACUGGCACUGGGACACGGGCCAGACUCCUACGGGAGGCAGCAGUGAGGAAUAUUGGACAAUGGGGGAAACCCUGAUCCAGCGACGCCGCGUGGAGGACGAAGGUCUUCGGAUUGUAAACUCCUUUUGUGGGGGAAGAAUAAAUGACGGUACCCCACGAAUAAGCCACGGCUAACUACGUGCCAGCAGCCGCGGUAAUACGUAGGUGGCAAGCGUUACUCGGAAUCACUAGGCGUAAAGCGCGGGUAGGCGGCUCGGCAAGUCUGUCGUGAAAGCUCCUGGCUUAACUGGGANAGGUCGGCGGAUACUACCGAGCUUGAGUGUGGGGAGGGGGACUGGAAUUCCCGGAGUAGCGGUGAAAUGCGCAGAUAUCGGGAGGAACACCAUGGCGAAAGCAGGCACCUGGACCAAUACUGACGCUGAGCCGCGAAAGCUAGGGGAGCAAACAGGAUUAGAUACCCUGGUAGUCCUAGCUGUAAACGAUGCACACUAGAUAUGGGAGGUAUCGACCCCUUCCGUGUCGCAGCUAACGCUUUAAGUGUGCCGCCUGGGGAGUACGGCCGCAAGGUUGAAACUCAAAGGAAUUGACGGGGGCCCGCACAAGCGGUGGAGCAUGUGGUUUAAUUCGACGCAACGCGAAGAACCUUACCUGGGCUUGAACUGUAGGAAGUAGAAUUCUAGAAAUAGAAGACGACUCGUAAAGUCGAGAGCCUAUAGAGGUGCUGCAUGGUUGUCGUCAGCUCGUGUCGUGAGAUGUUGGGUUAAGUCCCGCAACGAGCGCAACCCUUAUUCUAUGUUGCUAUUCCCGCAAGGGAAGCACUCUUAGGAAACUGCCUCGGAUAACGGGGAGGAAGGUGGGGACGACGUCAAAUCAUCAUGGCCCUUAUGUCCAGGGCUACACACGUGCUACAAUGGUCGGUACAAUGGGAUGCAAGACCGCAAGGUGGAGCAAAACCCUUAAAGCCGGCCCCAGUUCGGAUCGUGGGCUGAAAUUCGCCCACGUGGAGCAGGAAUCGCUAGUAAUCGCGGAUCAGCAGGCCGCGGUGAAUACGUUCCCGGGCCUUGUACACACCGCCCGUCACACCACGAAAGCCCGCUGCAACAGAAAUCCCCGCGCAAGUGGGGCUGAAGUUGUGGUUGGUGAUUGGGGUGAAGUCGUAACAAGGUAGCC
Molecule: ribosomal RNA, 1391 nt
Filed under: uncultured bacterium
Lineage: Bacteria
Description: 16S ribosomal RNA
Rfam family: Bacterial small subunit ribosomal RNA
Source: RNAcentral